RNAcentral lists this ribosomal RNA (253 nucleotides) under uncultured bacterium. RNAcentral's name for it is "partial 16S ribosomal RNA". It matches the Rfam family "Bacterial small subunit ribosomal RNA", at positions 524 to 776 of the family's 1533-position model. The record is from RNAcentral.
UACAGAGACUGCGAGCGUUAUUCGGAUUCACUGGGCGUAAAGGGUGCGCAGGCGGCCAAGUGUGUGAGGCGUGAAAGCCUGGAGCUUAACUCCAGAAUUGCACCUCAAACUACUUGGCUAGAGCAUUGGAGAGGGUAGCGGAAUUCACGGUGUAGCAGUGAAAUGCGUAGAUAUCGUCAGGAACGCCAAUGGUGAAGACAGGUGACUGGGCUAGAUCUGACACUGAGGCACGAAAGCGUGGGGAUCAAACGGG